This is an RNA transcript of Capsicum annuum, 1478 nucleotides long. RefSeq lists it as uncharacterized. The record is from RefSeq and is a predicted model, not a curated record. NCBI's taxonomy places the organism in Eukaryota, Viridiplantae, Streptophyta, Magnoliopsida, Solanales, Solanaceae. The transcript is spliced from 4 exons.
GCAACCACACUUUUAACUAAUUGCUCGACAUAUUACAAUUUCCUACUUGUGUAUCAAAUUAUUAUUUAAUAAUAAUUCUAAUAUUUAGAACCAUAAUUAGAAUUGUAAUAUAAAUACACAACUCUCUUGUAAUAAGAGAUACGGCCACCAUCAUACGUGUAUAUAUAUUUAGAUGAUAUGGUUGUAACUGCUCAACCAUCAAUUUUAGGGUUAUAUUCUCCCUCUAAAAUUUUUUUCGUUCCUUUUCCUUAGAUUUUUGUAGAAUUUGUUAUGACUAGAUUUAAUUAUCAUAUUGUUUUAUUGUAGUUUACAUGUAUUAAAAAAAUGUCGGUUGACUUUAUGUCUGAAGGUUGAUAUCUCGAUUAUCGUGUAUAAAGGUUAACAUAAUAUCUUAUCUCAAAUAUCGUAUUAUUUAGUUAUAGUUUAUGUAAAAUUUUGGUUUAAGGGUUGGUAUCUCGAUAAUCAUGUGUAAAGGUUAACAUAAUAUUUCACAUAUCGUAUUGUUUCGUUAUAGUUUAUGUAAAAUUUGUUUCUUUUCAAGUUAAUGUAAAUUCAUUAUGGUUAGGUCUAAUUAUAUUAUUUUGAUAUCUCUAUUAUAAUAUUGUUUUAUUGUAGUUUACAGGCAGCAGAUGAAUGUCGAUCGGCUUUGAGGCUGGCAUAUCAAGCUCAUGCUUGAUGAAAUAUGAUGACAACAAAUCUACAUCUGAAAAACUGAUGCUACUAAUUAGUUAUCUAACUUUGUCUUCUUUUGCUUCCUACAGGAUAGUAUGACAGUUGCUGGGGCAAAGGCAUGGGUAAUAGGAACAUUUAAUAAUGAUGAUGAAGCAUUAGGUGUUGUGGGAGAAUGGUGUUGCGAUUUCUUUCACCUUUGAGUUCAACGAUUCUAUCGAAUGUUGUUUUAUGCUUAUUUCCUCAUGUGGUAGAUGAAUGUCAUCGGGUGGAUUUGAGGAAUUUUUUGGGUCUUCCCGGUGCCAUAAAUCGCAAUAUGAGAUUCUCAAUAUAUUCUAGCUAGAUCAACGGUUAUGCAGCUCGUGGAGGCCAUAUUGGUCAUGUUUUUAAAGGUGAAUGAUUUCACAACCCAACAAAUGAAUGCCAUUGUGUCAGCAGUAUGUUCCUCAAGUUCAAACCACCAUAAUUUUCUUAAUGCCUCCUCCUACCUAUACAUGUGACUGAAUAAUAUUUUUGAUACAAAAAUCUUACUACCACUCUUUAAUGUAGUCUUCAUGCACAUCAAUAAUGAACAACUUUGAUUUAAUAGUUCUUUUUAUGAACACAAUUAAUAAAAGAAUGUCUUUAAAAAAUUUACUAUAAUUAUUAGACGAAGAAAAUAAUUAAGGUUACCCAUACUUAUAUGAAUCAUAUUAAUGUUCAAAAUUUAAUUCAUAGUGAACUUUUAGAUUUCAACUAGAAUCGUGUCUAUUUACAGUUUGAUUAAUUAGUAGUGGCCUAUAUAUAUAUUAGUAUUGGAUUAUAGCACU